UGUAAUCACGUUCUAACCUUUUGACCGCCAACUAGAAUGUCAUAAGCACGCUUUCGACACCCGAGCGACUUUCAGAGGUCAGACGGAUAGCCCAAAGGGUAUUCGUUGCAAUCCUCGAUCCCAAUCGUCACAUCCACCAAAGGCUAUAACACUCCGAUACGAGAUCGAAGCCACAUUCCUCCGAUCAUUUUAUGACGAUUAAAAUCGAUGUUGACCUACCAUACGGAAAAGUACACCUAAAAGUACCAUAACGCAAAGCAACGAAGGCCGCAAAGCUCAACAUUACCCA
Molecule: ribosomal RNA, 289 nt
Filed under: uncultured Glomeromycotina
Lineage: Eukaryota; Fungi; Glomeromycota
Description: partial large subunit ribosomal RNA
Source: RNAcentral